UACGAAGGGUGCAAGCGUUAAUCGGAAUUACUGGGCGUAAAGCGCGCGUAGGCGGUUUGAUUAGUUGGAUGUGAAAGCCCAGGGCUCAACCUUGGAACUGCAUCCAAUACUGUCAGGCUAGAGUACGGGAGAGGGGGGGUAGAAUUCCACGUGUAGCGGUGGAAAUGCGUAGAGAUGUGGAGGAAUACCGGUGGCGAAGG
Molecule: ribosomal RNA, 200 nt
Filed under: uncultured bacterium
Lineage: Bacteria
Description: partial 16S ribosomal RNA
Rfam family: Bacterial small subunit ribosomal RNA
Source: RNAcentral